GAAGCUCUGACGGUACCUGAGGAAUCAGCCUCGGCUAACUCCGUGCCAGCAGCCGCGGUAAUACGGAGGAGGCAAGCGUUAUCCGGAAUUAUUGGGCGUAAAGCGUCCGCAGGCGGCUUACCAAGUCUGCUGUCAAAUACCAGAGCUCAACCCUGGGUCGGCGGUGGAAACUGGCAAGCUAGAGUACAGUAGGGGUAGAGGGAAUUCCCAGUGUAGCGGUGAAAUGCGUAGAGAUUGGGAAGAACACCGGUGGCGAAGGCGCUCUACUGGGCUGUAACUGACGCUGAGGGACGAAAGCUAGGGUAGCGAAAGGGAUUAGAUACCCCUGUAGUCUUAGCUGUAAACGAUGGAGACUAGGCGUGGCUUGUAUCGACCCGAGCCGUGCCGAAGCCGACGCGUUAAGUCUCCCGCCUGGGGAGUACGCACGCAAGUGUGAAACUCAAAGGAAUUGACGGGGGCCCGCACAAGCGGUGGAGUAUGUGGUUUAAUUCGAUGCAACGCGAAGAACCUUACCAAGGCUUGACAUCCCGCGAAUCCUGGUGAAAGCCGGGAGUGCCUUCGGGAGCGCGGAGACAGGUGGUGCAUGGCUGUCGUCAGCUCGUGUCGUGAGAUGUUGGGUUAAGUCCCGCAACGAGCGCAACCCUUGUCCUCAGUUGCCAGCAUUCAGUUGGGCACUCUAGGGAGACUGCCGGUGACAAACCGGAGGAAGGUGGGGAUGACGUCAAGUCAUCAUGCCCCUUACGUCUUGGGCUACACACGUACUACAAUGGUUGGGACAACGGGCAGCGAAGCGGCAACGCCGAGCGAAUCCCAGCAAACCCAGCCUCAGUUCAGAUCGCAGGCUGCAACUCGCCUGCGUGAAGGAGGUAUCGCUAGUAAUCGCAGGUCAGCAUACUGCGGUGAAUUCGUUCCCGGGCCUUGUACACACCGCCCGUCACACCAUGGAAGUUGGCCAUGCCCGAAGUCGUUACUCCAACCCUUGUGGAGGAGGACGCCGAAGGCAGGGCUGAUGACUGGGGUGAAG
RNAcentral lists this ribosomal RNA (1024 nucleotides) under uncultured organism. Its description in RNAcentral is "bacterial SSU rRNA". It matches the Rfam family "Bacterial small subunit ribosomal RNA", at positions 463 to 1485 of the family's 1533-position model. The record is from RNAcentral.